UACGGAGGGGGCUAGCGUUGUUCGGAAUUACUGGGCGUAAAGCGCACGUAGGCGGCUUUGUAAGUUAGAGGUGAAAGCCCAGGGCUCAACCCUGGAAUUGCCUUUAAGACUGCAUCGCUUGAAUCAUGGAGAGGUGAGUGGAAUUCCGAGUGUAGAGGUGAAAUUCGUAGAUAUUCGGAAGAACACCAGUGGCGAAGGCGACUCACUGGACAUGUAUUGACGCUG
This 225-nucleotide ribosomal RNA is filed under the name uncultured bacterium. RNAcentral's name for it is "partial 16S ribosomal RNA". It matches the Rfam family "Bacterial small subunit ribosomal RNA", at positions 524 to 748 of the family's 1533-position model. The record is from RNAcentral.